UGUACUAGAAACAGUGAUUUACCAAACCUGAAGUGAUACUUUAGGUUCUCCAGCAAGUGAAUUAAUACCACACUGUGGAAAUACUCUGCAGUAAAAAACAUCCCUGAAGUAUAAAUAUAACAAUUAUGAUCUGUAAAAUGUAUAUAUACUAUUAAAAAUAAACUUCAUUGUGCAGUAAA
Molecule: long non-coding RNA, 179 nt
Organism: Sphaeramia orbicularis (orbiculate cardinalfish)
Lineage: Eukaryota; Metazoa; Chordata; Actinopteri; Kurtiformes; Apogonidae
Exons: 2
Source: RefSeq, a predicted model, not a curated record